RNAcentral lists this transfer RNA (72 nucleotides) under Perkinsus olseni. It matches the Rfam family "tRNA". Rfam says of the family: Transfer RNA (tRNA) molecules are approximately 80 nucleotides in length. Their secondary structure includes four short double-helical elements and three loops (D, anti-codon, and T loops). Lineage: Eukaryota; Perkinsozoa; Perkinsida; Perkinsidae. The record is from Rfam by way of RNAcentral.
GGGCGCGUAGCUCUGUGGUAGAGCGGCUGCUUGCAGAUCAGCAGGUCCGCGGUUCAAAUCCGGGCGUGCCCU